This is a long non-coding RNA of Passer domesticus (house sparrow), 2586 nucleotides long. RefSeq lists it as uncharacterized. Lineage: Eukaryota; Metazoa; Chordata; Aves; Passeriformes; Passeridae. The record is from RefSeq and is a predicted model, not a curated record. The transcript has 3 exons.
CACCCAGGGAAUGGCUGCCAGUGCCAGAGGGCAGCAAUGGAUGGGAUCUUGGCCAUGAGGAAUUGUUCCCUGGCAGGGUGGGCAGGGCUGGCACAGGGUGCCCAGAGCAGCUGGGGCUGCCCCUGGAUCCCUGGCAGUGCCCAAGGCCAGGCUGGGCACUGGGGCUGGAGCAGCCUGGCACAGGGGAAGGUGUCCCUGCCAUGGCACUGGGUGGGAUUUGGGUCCCUCCCACUCUGGGAUUCCCCCCAAAUGUCACCAAUUGAGGAACUGCCUGUCCUUGGCCACUGUGAUCUUUUUGUUCCUCCAGCUGUGUCCCACCCUCAGUGGCAUGCCCAGACACCCAGAACUCAGGAUGAGUUUCACAGCCCAAGAGAAGCCUUUUCUCAGAAGGGCUGAGCAGGCAGACAGGUCCAUUCCUGGCAGGACGGGGUGUUUAUGUCUCACAUGAGCAGAGAGCUCUGUUUUGUGUGCUCAUGGAAACUGCUCUGAGCAGGCACUGCCUGACUGCACUUCCUCUGUCUCCCAGAGACUUGAUUUCAUCACUCAUUUACUGUAAGUGAAUCACCAAACUUUUUUUUUUUUUUUUUACUUUAACACCAGUUUUUUUACUUUUAACACUUUUUUUUUUAACUUUGAUCCUCACAGCAUGGUGAAAUGCACACACAGAAUGGGCCCAAAGGCUCUGGGAAAGCCUGGCCCAGCUCUGAAUUCAGCAGCAAACCCAAAAUCCUGCUCCAGACACAAACCGUGUUACCUGAGCCUGGUGAAAUCACAGAACCCUGGGCUGGGCUGGAAAGGACCUGAAAAAUCACCCAUCAAAACUCAAAUCUCUUCCAGGGUGAUGGAAUUUCCUUUAACCCUCUGUAGGUGAGACACAAAAUGUCAAAUCUCUUCCAGGGUGAUGGAAUUUCCUUUAAUUCCUCACUCUGUAGGUGAGACACAAAAUCUCAAAUCUCUUCCAGGGUGAUGGAAUUUCCUUUAAUUCCUCACUCUGUAGGUGAGACACAAAAUCUCAAAUCUCUUCCCAGGUGAUGGAAUUUCCUUUAACCCUCUGUAGUGAGACACCUGAAGGGACUCCAUGAGAGGGACUGGGACAAGGCUGGAGGGACAGGACACAGGGGCAGGGUAGGACUGGAAAUUGGGACCAAAAUUGAAUUGGAGAUGCCUCUUUACACACCUAGAUAAUUUCCCAUCCACUUCCAAGAGUCCCCACACGAGGGUCCAGAUCACCCCCAGACACCAGAGCCCCCUCAGCAGAGUGUGCAGGGGGAGGGUUUGUGGCUGACCAGACCAAUGUGGGUUUUCUGCAAGAUUUUUUUUCCUUUUCAUGUCAGGGCACUAUCAAACAACUCAAUUCUGUUUCUCUUCCAGGAGGAAGGUUAAAAAUCCAAGCAGCAAACACCAGGAGUGGCAAGGGAUGAGGUCAGAGUUUGAAGAGCUUUUGCUGCAGAUUUUGUGCCAGAAAUUUCGCUGCAGGAAAAUCACAGGAUCAUUCAUCCCUCACUGUCUGAUUUGGCAUUGACUUGCUUCCCUCUCCCUAGGCUCAAAGACAAGAAAGCCAAUACACAGAAUUAUCCCUGGACUCCUGUAGGUUCUGCAGAUUUGCUGGAUUAUUGAUAUAAUUUUUUUUUUUUUACUGGAUGUUGCAUUAAACCCAGCUCUCUCUUCCCUCUGUCUUCAUUAAAUCGGUUUAUUCUCCAUUCUCCCCCUUCUCCUUAAGCUCCCAGUUUUAACAAAUCAUCCCUCAUCCUCCAGUGGUGGAAACCACAUCUUCCAUUAAACUUUUCUCACUUUGCCCCUCACUUUGUCCCAGAGAGGACUCCAGCAGAGUCAUUUCUUUGCUCUGAUUUACCAGGAGGCUCCAGACAGGACAGAGCUGGGCUGAAACCAAAACCCAGCCCAAGUUCCCCCGUGCCUUGGCAAAGGGCAGGCAGACACGACAGGUUCUGGGAUUUCUGCACUCCAACGUGUCCUUUAGCAGAAGGGAGGAGGGGAACCCCGCUGCCUGAGUCACAAGUGGAGUUUCUGCAAUUUCCAGUUCCUCCAGGCUUCUUUCCUCAAUCACAGCCUCAUUAACGAGGCACCCCUCAAUCCAAGUGCCCCUGAGGGCUCUGCUUUGCUGCUCAGUGCCCCUGUUUGGAAACGCGGCGGUGUCACAGCCUGUCCCUGUCCCUGGGGCACCCUGGGGCUCCUGCCCUGCCCUGCUGUGAAAUACCAGCCUGUGUUUUGUGUCAGGCACACACAGGCAACCUGUGACUGUGAUAUGUGUGCAAACUGACUGUGGAACAGUUAUAAAGACAAUUCUAAUAAAUAACUGAGGAAGUAAAGCAUGGAAGAAGGCCUUUGAUCAUAUCCCUUGUUUGCAAUUAACCUUUAUAAGUCUUCAGUUGAUUUAGGAGCAUUGGAAUGAAAGCUUUAAGGAUGUUGCUGUUUGACAGGAACGUUCUGCUUCUAGCUAAAAAGAGUUUUGCAAUAAUAACCUUUUGAAGUAUAAUUUUAGAAUCUUGCUUGUAGUAAGGAUCUUUGAAACUAUAGCUUUAGAAGAUAUAAAAAGGAAAGAUGCUUAUCUCGACACCUUAACAAAAU